UGCUUUACUGCUAUAGAUUUUGGGGCAU
RNAcentral lists this small RNA (28 nucleotides) under Bombyx mori (domestic silkworm). RNAcentral's name for it is "ovarian small RNA-34334". The record is from RNAcentral. Lineage: Eukaryota; Metazoa; Arthropoda; Insecta; Lepidoptera; Bombycidae.